UGAACUUGUCUGUAACUCGCCACCACCGCGACGUCAUGAUUCACAGUUGGCCCGGUGUUGCAGUUUGGACUUGGAUGGCCUGGCUAGUGGCGUUUCGAAUUUGUAUGGCAUUAAAGCAUCAGUUUGCUGUGACUGGAACUUUUGAGCUUUCUGCAUUUACCUAGGCUUAUAUUUGAAAUGCUGACUCUUGGAUAGUUUGUAGCCUUACAUUACUUUGGCUAUGUCUGCUGCAUUCACGGCUUUCCCGUUUUCUAACCUCCCUUUUUAUGUUCUAUAUGUUUUGGAUAUAUAUGCUAUUUCGGGGUAUGUAGACUGGAUAAAGUUUAAUGGAGAAUUGGGUCAAUAACAGUCUCAACAAUGAAUAACUGGUUUAGAAUUUGAUUUUAGCAAAAAGGAUUAUGAAAGUGGAUUA
Molecule: long non-coding RNA, 412 nt
Filed under: Lathyrus oleraceus (garden pea)
Lineage: Eukaryota; Viridiplantae; Streptophyta; Magnoliopsida; Fabales; Fabaceae
Description: Pisum sativum (pea) long non-coding RNA (PSAT_LNC037379)
Source: RNAcentral